GCUUACGGCCAUACCAGCCUGGGUACGCCCGAUCUCGUCUGAUCUCGGAAGCUAAGCCGGGUCGGGCCUGGUUAGUACUUGGAUGGGAGACCGCCUGGGAAUACCAGGUGCUGUAGGCA
This 119-nucleotide ribosomal RNA is filed under the name Salmo salar (Atlantic salmon). Lineage: Eukaryota; Metazoa; Chordata; Actinopteri; Salmoniformes; Salmonidae. The record is from RNAcentral.